RNAcentral lists this ribosomal RNA (602 nucleotides) under Enterococcus sp. IsoC3. Its description in RNAcentral is "bacterial LSU rRNA". It matches the Rfam family "Bacterial large subunit ribosomal RNA", at positions 243 to 849 of the family's 2925-position model. Lineage: Bacteria; Bacillati; Bacillota; Bacilli; Lactobacillales; Enterococcaceae. The record is from RNAcentral.
GUAGCGGCGAGCGAAACGGGAAAAGCCCAAACCAAUGAGCUUGCUCAUUGGGGUUGUAGGACUCCGAUAUGGUAGUUCUUUCAGAUAGUCGAAUGACUUGGAAAAGUCAGUCAGAGAGGGUGAAAGCCCCGUAGAUGAAAUUUGGAAGGCACCUAGGAGGAUCCUGAGUACGGCGGAACACGAGGAAUUCCGUCGGAAUCCGGGAGGACCAUCUCCCAAGGCUAAAUACUCCCUAGUGACCGAUAGUGAACCAGUACCGUGAGGGAAAGGUGAAAAGCACCCCGGAAGGGGAGUGAAAUAGAACCUGAAACCGUGUGCCUACAACAAGUCAAAGCCCGUUAAUGGGUGAUGGCGUGCCUUUUGUAGAAUGAACCGGCGAGUUACGAUUGCAUGCGAGGUUAAGUUGAAGAGACGGAGCCGCAGCGAAAGCGAGUCUGAAUAGGGCGUUUGAGUAUGUAGUCGUAGACCCGAAACCAUGUGAUCUACCCAUGUCCAGGUUGAAGGUGCGGUAAAACGCACUGGAGGACCGAACCCACGUACGUUGAAAAGUGCGGGGAUGAGGUGUGGGUAGCGGAGAAAUUCCAAACGAACUUGGAGAUAGC